CAAAAAAGUUCUUUCAAAAAAACCCAUAUUUAUUAGGCCUUAAAAUGGAAAGUCAAUUUUCCCGUGUGCACGAUAAAACGGGUAACUAAUUUUUAUGUAGGUUCACAUUUUAUAAGUUAUUUUAUAUAUUUAAAAAUAAAUAAAUAGCAGCCUCCAGAAUUUUACAUGAGUAGGAAACUUUCCUCAUAUCACACCCCCAAGCAACCAUAAUAAAACUCCCCUCUGCAGCAGCAUCCCCAACCCAAAAUUCCCUUACGCUGACCUCACCUCUGGUCAAGACCAUGCCUUGACGAUGGCUUCAAGCGAAGAUGAGCUCGUGGGCAAGAUAUCAGAGAUCGAGAAAUCCUUAGCUUCGCUUUCCACCUAGCAAAUCCAACUGGUCGAUUUGAAGAAAUCAAUAUCAGAGGAGCUUGAACUACUACACGCCAGUAGGGCCCACAAUCACAAACAUGGGGGCGUUCAUCCUUACCCAAGAUUGCAUCUCCACCAUGUCCAUUUGAUGGUCUUGAGAGUGACUAUUUUGUUCAUUUGGGGAACCAAGACUUCUUUCUGGCACAAAUUAUGAAUUUUACAACGUUCAACAUAUUUGUAUAACCACGUUUCAAAUAUAUGUUCAAGAAAACGGAAGACAUAUGAUUAAGACUUUACAUUCAAUUGUUCUUCCUAUGGAUAUCGAGGAUUGUGGUCGGUUCAUGCUCACAUUUGGCUUCAUUCCAGAGUGCGGGGAUUAUGAACCCAUAGAAGGGGAUGCAGCUAGCAUGAAGCAGCCCAAAUAAGAAGAAGAAACCACUAUCGAAGAGAAUUAUUUGAUGUGUGGGAGGUGAAGAAAUGUGUUUACAUGAAAUGUACGUAAGUCUUGGAUUAGAAAUUAUUGAGCCGUUUUACUGCCAUCUAGGCCCUUGAUGUUAUAGUGGAAAAAGAUGUUAUUGAUUGUGAUAUUUAGCUGAUAGUUGAUAUGCAUGCCUCCUUGUGUAAAAGGACCUGUUAACACCCCCAAAAAAAAAAAAAAUUAAUAAUCAAGGUUAGCUUUGAAAGACUUUUUAUUAAUGGUUGACAAUAAUGUUCGUCUGUGGACCAUGGCUUAUAAACUCAUCUGGUUUAAAACUUUUCAGCCUUAAUGACUUCAGCUGAUAAACACGAAAUAAAUAUAUUUAAACUUGGGAAUAUGAAGACGAUAACCUUGACCAAGUCAUUAAAUUAAUUAAUGGUAGAUUGGCCUUAAGUGGAGACAAUGAUGAACGUCUCGCAGACGACUUGACUUCCUCUCAAAUUUUCUUUAAUACAAUGAUCGCUUUUCUUAACCAAAUUUUA
This is a long non-coding RNA of Prunus persica (peach), 1311 nucleotides long. RefSeq lists it as uncharacterized. Lineage: Eukaryota; Viridiplantae; Streptophyta; Magnoliopsida; Rosales; Rosaceae. The transcript has 3 exons. The record is from RefSeq and is a predicted model, not a curated record.